CAUAGCUCAACUGGUAGAGCAUUUGACUCUUAAUCAAAGGGUUCAGGGUUCGAGUCCCUGU
Molecule: transfer RNA, 61 nt
Filed under: bovine gut metagenome
Rfam family: tRNA
About the family: Transfer RNA (tRNA) molecules are approximately 80 nucleotides in length. Their secondary structure includes four short double-helical elements and three loops (D, anti-codon, and T loops). Further hydrogen bonds mediate the characteristic L-shaped molecular structure. tRNAs have two regions of fundamental functional importance: the anti-codon, which is responsible for specific mRNA codon recognition, and the 3' end, to which the tRNAs corresponding amino acid is attached (by aminoacyl-tRNA synthetases). tRNAs cope with the degeneracy of the genetic code in two manners: having more than one tRNA (with a specific anti-codon) for a particular amino acid; and 'wobble' base-pairing, i.e. permitting non-standard base-pairing at the 3rd anti-codon position.
Source: RNAcentral